This 431-nucleotide ribosomal RNA is filed under the name uncultured bacterium. Its description in RNAcentral is "partial 16S ribosomal RNA". It matches the Rfam family "Bacterial small subunit ribosomal RNA", at positions 338 to 795 of the family's 1533-position model. The record is from RNAcentral.
CCUACGGGAGGCUGCAGUCGAGGAUCUUCGGCAAUGGGCGCAAGCCUGACCGAGCGACGCCGCGUGUGCGAUGAAGGCCUUCGGGUUGUAAAGCACUGUCGAGGGGGAGGCUAAUCCCUGGAGGAAGCACGGGCUAAGUUCGUGCCAGCAGCCGCGGUAAGACGAACCGUGCGAACGUUGUUCGGAAUCACUGGGCAUAAAGGGCGCGUAGGCGGGUCACCAAGUCCGUGGUGAAAGCCCUCAGCUUAACUGGGGAAGUGCUUCGGAUACUGGUGGUCUCGAGUGGGGUAGGGGCAUGCGGAACUUCCGGUGGAGCGGUGAAAUGCGUAGAUAUCGGAAGGAACGCCGGUGGCGAAAGCGGCGUGCUGGACCCCACUGACGCUGAGGCGCGAAAGCCAGGGGAGCAAACGGGAUUAGAUACCCUUGUAGUC